AAGGAUUUAAGUUAAUUAAACUAUUAACCUUCAAAGUUAAAAAUAGGAAUUCCUAAGCCUUA
RNAcentral lists this transfer RNA (62 nucleotides) under Laccoptera nepalensis. Its description in RNAcentral is "tRNA-Trp". The record is from RNAcentral. Lineage: Eukaryota; Metazoa; Arthropoda; Insecta; Coleoptera; Chrysomelidae. RNAcentral also lists the same sequence under 1 other name.